RNAcentral lists this transfer RNA (69 nucleotides) under Eumecichthys fiski. RNAcentral describes it as "tRNA-Ile". It matches the Rfam family "tRNA". Rfam says of the family: Transfer RNA (tRNA) molecules are approximately 80 nucleotides in length. Lineage: Eukaryota; Metazoa; Chordata; Actinopteri; Lampriformes; Lophotidae. The record is from RNAcentral.
GGAGCUGUGCCUGACUAAAGGGUUACUUUGAUAGAGUAAAUUAUGAAGGUUAAAGCCCUUCCACCUCCU